AAGUCGUAACAAGGUUUCCGUAGGUGAACCUGCGGAAGGAUCAUUAACACGUAUCCAACGUUAAACCCCCUGUGAAUUUUAAGUCCUGCUCCGGAAUCUUUUCAAACAGCAAUCUUAGUAAAUCAUUGUUGAACAGUUUUGAUUUGAGACCUCUGUUUGGAGAGUGAACGUUGAGACGGUUGAGAUAGGGGCAUGGCUUCCCGAAUCAAUCAUCAAAUGAAAGCGUUGAUGAUUGUGUAAGGAUAACGCUUCUCGGUCGCUGGAGGCCCACACGGUCGGCGGACAUGCCUCAUGGGCGCAAGCCCCUUUUUAACCCCACUAAACUUCUCCUUCCUUGUGGCGAAAGCCGCAGGUGCAAAAAACGAACAACUGUUAACAAUGGAUAUCUUGGUUCUC
Molecule: unclassified non-coding RNA, 396 nt
Filed under: fungal sp.
Lineage: Eukaryota; Fungi
Description: partial internal transcribed spacer region
Rfam family: Eukaryotic small subunit ribosomal RNA (bases 1-46)
Source: RNAcentral